This 304-nucleotide ribosomal RNA is filed under the name uncultured bacterium. RNAcentral describes it as "partial 16S ribosomal RNA". It matches the Rfam family "Bacterial small subunit ribosomal RNA", at positions 506 to 807 of the family's 1533-position model. The record is from RNAcentral.
CAGCAGCAGCCGCGGUAAAACGGAGGGUGCAAGCGUUAAUCGGAAUUACUGGGCGUAAAGCGCACGCAGGCGGUUUGUUAAGUCAGAGGUGAAAGCCCAGGGCUCAACCUUGGAAUUGCCUUUGAUACUGGCUAUCUUGAGUAUGGGAGAGGUUAGCGGAACUCCGAGUGUAGAGGUGAAAUUCGUAGAUAUUCGGAAGAACACCAGUGGCGAAGGCGGCUAACUGGCCCAUUACUGACGCUGAGGCUCGAAAGCGUGGGGAGCAAACAGGAUUAGAUACCCGCGUAGUCCCUGUCUCUUAUAC